GAAGCUGCUGGCCGAGCUGGUGCGGCAAAGGAAGAAGGUCUAUCUGCUGCUGGACAACGCCAGCGGCCCCGAGUUCGAGCCCCGGCGGCUCAUC
RNAcentral lists this transfer RNA (94 nucleotides) under Variovorax paradoxus. RNAcentral describes it as "tRNA-Phe". The record is from RNAcentral. Lineage: Bacteria; Pseudomonadati; Pseudomonadota; Betaproteobacteria; Burkholderiales; Comamonadaceae.